GAACGCUGGCGGCAGGCCUAACACAUGCAAGUCGAGCGGUAGAGAGAAGCUUGCUUCUCUUGAGAGCGGCGGACGGGUGAGUAAUGCCUAGGAAUCUGCCUGGUAGUGGGGGAUAACGUUCGGAAACGGACGCUAAUACCGCAUACGUCCUACGGGAGAAAGCAGGGGACCUUCGGGCCUUGCGCUAUCAGAUGAGCCUAGGUCGGAUUAGCUAGUUGGUGAGGUAAUGGCUCACCAAGGCGACGAUCCGUAACUGGUCUGAGAGGAUGAUCAGUCACACUGGAACUGAGACACGGUCCAGACUCCUACGGGAGGCAGCAGUGGGGAAUAUUGGACAAUGGGCGAAAGCCUGAUCCAGCCAUGCCGCGUGUGUGAAGAAGGUCUUCGGAUUGUAAAGCACUUUAAGUUGGGAGGAAGGGCAGUUACCUAAUACGUGAUUGUUUUGACGUUACCGACAGAAUAAGCACCGGCUAACUCUGUGCCAGCAGCCGCGGUAAUACAGAGGGUGCAAGCGUUAAUCGGAAUUACUGGGCGUAAAGCGCGCGUAGGUGGUUAGUUAAGUUGGAUGUGAAAUCCCCGGGCUCAACCUGGGAACUGCAUUCAAAACUGACUGACUAGAGUAUGGUAGAGGGUGGUGGAAUUUCCUGUGUAGCGGUGAAAUGCGUAGAUAUAGGAAGGAACCACCAGUGGCGAAGGCGACCACCUGGACUGAU
This 713-nucleotide ribosomal RNA is filed under the name Pseudomonas sp. Its description in RNAcentral is "bacterial SSU rRNA". It matches the Rfam family "Bacterial small subunit ribosomal RNA", at positions 31 to 738 of the family's 1533-position model. The record is from RNAcentral. Lineage: Bacteria; Pseudomonadati; Pseudomonadota; Gammaproteobacteria; Pseudomonadales; Pseudomonadaceae.